CAUGUAGCCGAGGGAGAGCUUGGUAACUUUAGUGAAGUUGUAACAAGGUACUGGUAGGGGAACCUGCUUGUGGAAUAAAAAGAUAACUUGGAACUGUUUGAAGACAAGGCAACAGGGCACUAGACGGAGGGCUAGAUUACAGCAUCGGUUGGGCUGAAGUGGUCCUGGUGAGGCCGCCGAUUAGGUAGCGAAGUGAAGCAUCUCAGUAGCUACGACAAGAAAUUAACAAAGCGGGUUUAGUAGCGGCGAGCGAACUUCCUUGUUCGGACGUUGCGUUGAGGCAAAAUACUUAGACGUAUACCUUAGGAGUUAGAGUCUCGUAGCCUCGGACGCGACAUCUGUAAGUUGGCCAGUCUUGUGAAGAUUGGUUGGAGGGAAUUCUUUCUCUUUAAUUGAAGCUGUAAUCGAUAGCGUAGAGUAGGGCGACCAAAAGUUGAAAAGAACCCUGGAGGGAGUGAAAAGAACCCAAAAUCUAGUGUGUAAGCAGCCGUGCUCGACAGCGCGGCGUACCUUUUGCAUAAUGGACUGAUGAGUUAAAGUGGCUAGCAAGCGCAAGCGUAACUAACCUGUGUAGUUAGCUUCUUUAGACCCGAAGCCGUGUGAACUAACUAUGAGCAGGCCAGCGGGCCGAACCGGUGAAUGUUGCAAUAUUCUCGGAUGACUCGUGGUUAGGGGUGAAAGGUCUAACAAACACGGUGAUAGCUGGUUCUCCACGAAAUCUAUUUUAGUAGAGCGGGGGUUUAGCGGGGGCGGGGGUAGCGUAUCUUAGAUCACUAAAUAGGCUCGCCUAUUUUUAAUAUGUGAGAAAGCGCGAAUACUGCACAGCUGGCCCCUAGUCAGUCAGUGGGCGCAAAAGUUAACUGACGAGAGGGAAACAACCCAGAUUACAGGCUAAGGCUGAUAAUCAGCACUAAGAAGAAAGGCCACUUGGCGGCUAAUGAGGUAGGUAUGGAAGCUAUCAACCUUUGAAGAAAACGUAACAGUACACUGGUCGUGAGCCCUGUGGCCUAAUAAUUUCCAAGUGAGUGCUGAGCCGAAGCCAUAUGAAGGUAGUGGAGUGUGCUGCAUGUCGCUAACUGCCGCCGUGAGGCGUCAGGAUGACACCAGUAGCAAAGAGAUCAGUAUGAGUAGCAAUUUAUUGUUGAACCUUUAGCACCGUAAGCCUUAGAGUUUUUACGUAAAGACAAACUGCGUAAAGUUAGUCGUUCCCUAAGACUAAGUUAAAGAACGAGGGUCGAUGGGUUCUCGAAAGUGACCUGUGCUUGCUGCUCUGCCUUGGUAAUGCUUUUCGUGGCAGUGCACCUGCACGGCAGGAAAAAACUUCGAGCUGGCAAACGUAUUAAAACCGACUCUGGUAGGCGGGUUGAAUAUACUCAGGUGACGAUUCAAGAGCGUUGAAGGAACUCGGCAAAUUAGCUCUGUAACUUCGGGAGAAGGAGUGCCCAAGUGGUCGCAGUAAAUGAGGAGCAGCGACUGUUUUUUAAAAACACAGGACUUUGCAAAGUUGAAAGAUGAGGUAUAAAGUCUGACUUCUGCCCAGUGCUGGUCAAUGAAGCUUGGGGGCCUCGCCCUCAUAUAAGUGCCAGUAAACGGCGGCCGUAUUCCUGACGGUCCUAAGGUAGCGAAAUUCCUUGGCGGGUAAGUUCCGUCCUGCAUGAAUGAAGUAACGACUGCUCUACUGUCUCCAACGCUCGGUCGGCGAAAUUGAAUUUGUUGUGCAGAUGCAAUAAUGUUAUACAGCAAGACGGAGAGACCCUAUGCACCUUUACUACAGCCAUUUAUCGGGCGGUAACUCGGCCUUAUGGAGCUAUGCAGGAGUGUAUCGACCAUGAGAAACUGCUUAAGCUCGGGUGAAGCUUUCAUGGCCUAACAACAAGUGGCCAGAGAUAUGGAUGGCGGGUAGUUUAGCUGGGGCGGCUACCUCCUAAAGAGUAACGGGGGUGAUUAGAUGCUGCUUGUGGCUUAAUGGCUGAGGCAGUAGGAUUUAAUUAACUACCAUUAAUUAAAGGGUACAGAUAUAGUGAUCCGGUGAUUUCUUAAGAUUGAGUCACCGCUAAACGGAUAAAAGGUACGCUAGGGAUAACAGGCUAAUAGUUUUUAAAAGUUCAUAUUUACAAAACUGCUUGGCACCUCGAUGUCGGCUCUUCAUAUCCUGGAGGGGCACAAUCUUCCAAGGGUUUGGCUGUUCGCCAAUUAAAAUGGAACGUGAGCUGGGUUGAGAACGUCGUGAGACAGUUCGGUCCCUAUCUGCUGUAUACCAAAACGAAGGGUGUGAACUCUAGUACGAGAGGACUGAGAACAGGCAGCCUCUGGUGUAGCAGUUGUCGAAGCGCGGCAUGGCUGCACAGCUAAGCUGUGAGAUCUAAGUGCGAUGCACGAAGUUCGCCCUAAGGUUUUGUAGACCACAUGAGAAGAUGACUCAAGCAGCCCUGCACUAAAAGUCUCGAGAGGGGCUGCGGUGUGGGCUGUCAUUUGUGGUUAGGUGUUAGUGCGCAUUCCAGCG
Molecule: ribosomal RNA, 2503 nt
Filed under: freshwater metagenome
Description: bacterial LSU rRNA
Rfam family: Bacterial large subunit ribosomal RNA
Source: RNAcentral